AUGUCAACUACUAGCUCCUGUAGUUUCUGUGGCUCGCACGACUCGUGGAGACACUCCCUCCUUGAGUGUUCAGUUGCACGGUGUGUAUGGGCCUUGGAGGACGGCGAAAUGGUGGAUCGGUUGAUAGCUAUGAUGGACCCAAAUGCAAAACAGUGGCUCUUUACCCUCAUGGCGUCCUUGACUCAUAGCAGCUUCGUUCGAGUGGUGGUGACUUUGUGGGCCAUCUGGACGGCUCGGCGAAAAUAUAUACACGGAGCCCCUCGAACAACUCCGGCGGUACAUGCAAGACCAAAAGCACCUCCGGAGGGAUUUGUGAAGAUCCAUGUGGACGGGGCGGUCUACCGAAAUCGACGUGGGACGGCGGCAGCGGUAUGCCGUGACCAGGCGGGCAAUUAUCUGGGAAGUUCGGCGUUGGUCUUACCAGGGAUCACCGACCCACCCACAUUGGAGGCGAUUGCUGGUAGAGAAGGACUGGCUUUGGCGGAUGAUCUUCUCUUGGGGAACCUAAUAGUCGCGUCCGACUGCAAGCAGGUUGUUGAUGAUAUCAAGCUUCGUAACGAGGGUUCUUAUGGUUCGGUGAUUACAGAAAUUUUACUUCGCUCUUCGGACUUUAAUUGUAAUUUUGUUUUUGAAAGCCGUUCUUCAAACGGCGAUGCUCAUAGGUUAGCUAAGCAUGCACUAUCUCUCGGUGUGGGGCGCCAUGUUUGGUUGGCCAACCCUUACAAUCCGAAUUGUAUACCACUCCAUGUGGAAUUUGAUCAAUAA
Molecule: ribosomal RNA, 765 nt
Filed under: Triticum aestivum (bread wheat)
Lineage: Eukaryota; Viridiplantae; Streptophyta; Magnoliopsida; Poales; Poaceae
Description: partial small subunit ribosomal RNA
Source: RNAcentral